Molecule: small nuclear RNA, 19 nt
Filed under: Arabidopsis thaliana (thale cress)
Lineage: Eukaryota; Viridiplantae; Streptophyta; Magnoliopsida; Brassicales; Brassicaceae
Description: snRNA_17895
Source: RNAcentral
UUUGAAAAGAGAGUCAAAG